UAGGGAAUCUUCGGCAAUGGGGGCAACCCUGACCGAGCAACGCCGCGUGAGUGAAGAAGGUUUUCGGAUCGUAAAGCUCUGUUGUAAGUCAAGAACGGGUGUGAGAGUGGAAAGUUCACACUGUGACGGUAGCUUACCAGAAAGGGACGGCUAACUACGUGCCAGCAGCCGCGGUAAUACGUAGGUCCCGAGCGUUGUCCGGAUUUAUUGGGCGUAAAGCGAGCGCAGGCGGUUUGAUAAGUCUGAAGUUAAAGGCUGUGGCUCAACCAUAGUUCGCUUUGGAAACUGUCAAACUUGAGUGCAGAAGGGGAGAGUGGAAUUCCAUGUGUAGCGGUGAAAUGCGUGGAUAUAUGGAGGAACACCGGUGGCGAAAGCGGCUCUCUGGUCUGUAACUGACGCUGAGGCUCGAAAGCGUGGGGAGCGAACAGGAUUAGAUACCCUGGUAGUCCACGCCGUAAACGAUGAGUGCUAGGUGUUGGAUCCUUUCCGGGAUUCAGUGCCGCAGCUAACGCAUUAAGCACUCCGCCUGGGGAGUACGACCGCAAGGUUGAAAC
Molecule: ribosomal RNA, 554 nt
Filed under: uncultured bacterium
Lineage: Bacteria
Description: partial 16S ribosomal RNA
Rfam family: Bacterial small subunit ribosomal RNA
Source: RNAcentral